UUUCUAUUUCUUUUCUGAAUUUCUCCGGAACUGUACAGGCACUUGCCAAAAAUGUAAAAAGUGGUAAAACUAGUGUUUUUAUAAUAAGAAUUUUCCCGAUUAAAGUUAAAUUACGUUUCCCCCAUAAAUGAAAUAGUUUAUUCCUUUCCUCAAUUUUAUUCUCCCAGUUUAUUUUUUUCACAUUCUUCUCUGUUAUAAACCAAAAUAUAUUCCCAAUGCUUUGACUGGUUUGUUUGUCCAAUUAAUCCCAGCUACCUUAUCUUUACUAUUUUUCAGUUUUCCUAUCCAUAUACCUCUGUUUUAUUUUUAUUCAAAGUUAACCCAGAAAAUGAUCCAAAAAUUUCUAUUUCAUUCAUAGCAGCUUUGAUUUCUUUCUUAUUACUGAGAAAUAAAGUAGUAUCAUCAGCUAAUUGUGAAAUUUUAAUGCUAUGAUUUUUAUUAUCUAGUUUAACUACGAACCCUUUGAUAUCUCUGUUUUUUCGAAGUCUUAAAGCCAUGAU
This 500-nucleotide long non-coding RNA is filed under the name Mytilus galloprovincialis (Mediterranean mussel). The record is from RNAcentral. Lineage: Eukaryota; Metazoa; Mollusca; Bivalvia; Mytilida; Mytilidae.